AACUUUUUCAUUCCACAAAGGAGGGCCAAUCCACACACCGUACCAAUUACACUAACAUAUUUUCCUCAUGCACUUACAAACCCUUUUUUCUAUUCACAAAUCACCCAAAGUCUCUCACGUAACUACACUUUUUUUUUGUCUCAUACAAGAUUCUUUCUAACAUACCCACGUUUGCUACAAGAUCAUGUACAGGGGAGAAGAUUCAGUGACAUUACACAGCGCAUUCUGACCACACACUACACAGUUCAUGUUCCAACUCCAUUAUUCUCCUCCUCACGAAUCUUCUAUUUUUCUCAAACCACUUCUGUCACUGUUGUUAUCACCAUUAUCUAA
Vicia faba (fava bean) is the source of this 333-nucleotide non-coding RNA. The record is from the annotation of a GenBank genome assembly. NCBI's taxonomy places the organism in Eukaryota, Viridiplantae, Streptophyta, Magnoliopsida, Fabales, Fabaceae.